UACGUAUGUCCCGAGCGUUAUCCGGAUUUAUUGGGCGUAAAGCGAGCGCAGACGGUUGAUUAAGUCUGAUGUGAAAGCCCGGAGCUCAACUCCGGAAAGGCAUUGGAAACUGGUCAACUUGAGUGCAGUAGAGGUAAGUGGAACUCCAUGUGUAGCGGUGGAAUGCGUAGAUAUAUGGAAGAACACCAGCGGCGAAGGCGGCUUACUGGACUGUAACUGACGUUGAGGCUCGAAAGUGUGGGUAGCAAACAGG
RNAcentral lists this ribosomal RNA (253 nucleotides) under Leuconostoc gelidum subsp. gelidum KCTC 3527. Its description in RNAcentral is "partial 16S ribosomal RNA". It matches the Rfam family "Bacterial small subunit ribosomal RNA", at positions 524 to 776 of the family's 1533-position model. The record is from RNAcentral. RNAcentral also lists the same sequence under 1 other name. Lineage: Bacteria; Bacillati; Bacillota; Bacilli; Lactobacillales; Lactobacillaceae.